UGUUCCUGUGUUAGUUUGCUGAGAAUGAUGGUUUCCAGCUUCAUCCAUGUCCCUGCAAAGGACAUGAACUCAUUCUUUUUUAUGGCUGCAUAACUUUUGUUUCUUAUGCUGGGACAAAUACAGCUUAUUUGUACACUGCUGGGAAUGAUCUAACACAGGGAAAGUCAUAGUGCAGGAAAGAGAAGGAAUGAAUAUAACAUAAUAAAAGAUAAGGAUUAUUUAGUAAUGUCUAAAGAGAAAAUGUGUGCUUAUUUACAGGUUUGAAAAGCAGAGAUGAUGUCCCAAAACUAGUGACUGAGUUCCUGGCAAAGAAAUUUGACCUGGACCAGUUGAUAACUCAUGUUUUACCAUUUAAAAAAAUCAGUGAAGGAUUUGAGCUGCUCAAUUCAGGACAAAGCAUUCGAACAGUCCUGACAUUUUGAGAUCCAAAGUGGCAGGAGGUCUGUGUUGUCAUGGUGAACUGGAGUUUCUCUUUUGCGAGUUCCCUCAUCUGAAAUCAUGUAUCUGUCUCACAAAUACAAGCAUAAGUAGAAGAUUUGUUGAAGACAUAGAACCC
This 556-nucleotide small RNA is filed under the name Pan troglodytes (chimpanzee). Its description in RNAcentral is "retained intron". The record is from RNAcentral. Lineage: Eukaryota; Metazoa; Chordata; Mammalia; Primates; Hominidae.